RNAcentral lists this long non-coding RNA (838 nucleotides) under Brassica napus (rape). RNAcentral describes it as "long non-coding RNA (BNAP_LNC018528)". The record is from RNAcentral. Lineage: Eukaryota; Viridiplantae; Streptophyta; Magnoliopsida; Brassicales; Brassicaceae.
GACUCUUUGUGAGAAAGAAAGGUCACAAUGUACCUCUGAGUGAGAUCGACUAAGCUCUCCAAGUUCAAGAGAAACCUCUGAGUGAAGCCAUGCGAUACUCUCCAAGUAUAGACCAACAAUCUCUUUUAUGUGGUGAAUUGAAGACUACACCUAGCCAUGUGAUCAUGCUUCCACUACUCAUUCCACCAAGCCAUCUGCAUUUGCGGUUCAAACUUGUCAUCUUGCAUUCACCCGACGCCAAGUUUGCGGGAGAGUUUUGAAGCCACACAGCAAGCCCACAACAAGCCCACGACUGUCAUUGGAGAAGUCACAAGUUCCUCAAGUUUUUCAGAGACACGUGAGAGCAAGGAUGUAAUGACAGUGCUAAAGCUUCUCAUCUUUGUUCAAAAAAAAAAAAAACUUCUCAUCUUAUCAUCCACGAAGGUGCUCGAUAAAAGGCCAAAGAGAAAGUCAGAAAGUCUGAUGCAGAUUGUAGAUGGUUAUUGAAUGGAAGAAAGAUGGUGGGUAUGAUACAAGUUGUUGUGAGAAGGUCCCUUUUUGUUAUAAGACAAAAAAAAAAAUUUGAGUUAAACGGGUCACAAGAGAAUCUGGACUCUUUGUGGGAAAGAAAGGUCACAAUGUACCUCUGAGUGAGAUCGACUAAGCUCUCCAAGUUCAAGAGAAACCUCUGAGUGAAGCCAUACGAUACUCUCCAAGUAUAGACCAACAAUCUCUUUUAUGUGGUGAAUUGAAGACUACACCUAGCCAUGUGAUCAUGCUUCCACUACUCAUUCCACCAAGCCAUCUGCAUUUGCGGUUCAAACUUGUCAUCUUGCAUUCACCCGACGCCAAGUUUGCG